Molecule: ribosomal RNA, 757 nt
Filed under: uncultured archaeon
Lineage: Archaea
Description: bacterial SSU rRNA
Rfam family: Archaeal small subunit ribosomal RNA
Source: RNAcentral
GGAUAAUCUGCCCUCGGGAGGGGGAUAACCCCGGGAAACUGGGAAUAAACCCCCAUAAACCAUGGAUGCUGGAAUGCUCCAUGGUUGAAAUUCCGAAAGGAGCCCGAGGAUGAGUCUGCGGCCUAUCAGGUAGUAGUGAGGGUAACUGCCUCACUAGCCUACGACGGGUACGGGCCUUGAGAGAGGGAGCCCGGAGAUGGACUCUGAGACAUGAGUCCAGGCCCUACGGGGCGCAGCAGGCGCGAAAACUCCGCAAUGCUCGAAAGAGCGACGGGGGGACUCCGAGUGCCUACACUUAGUGUAGGCUUUUCCCGAGCCUAAAAAGCUUGGGGAAUAAGGGCUGGGUAAGACGGGUGCCAGCCGCCGCGGUAAUACCCGCAGCCCGAGUGGUGGCCGCGUUUAUUGGGCUUAAAGCGUCCGUAGCCGGUCUAGUAAAUGCCUAGGUAAAUCGUCUGGCUUAACCAGGCGAAUUCUGGGUAGACUGCUAGACUAGGGACCGGGAGAAGGAGAGGGUACUCCGGGGGUAGGGGUGAAAUCCUGUAAUCCUCGGAGGACCACCAGUGGAGAAGUCGCUCUCCUAGAACGGGUCCGACGGUGAGGGACGAAAGCCUGGGGAGCAAACGGGAUUAGAUACCCCGGUAGUCCUGGCCGUAAACGAUGUGGACUUGACAUUGGGAUGGCUAUGAGCCACCCCAGUGUCGGAGGGAAACCGUUAAGUCCACCGCCUGGGGAGUACGGUCGCAAGGCUGAAACUUGA